Molecule: long non-coding RNA, 305 nt
Organism: Colossoma macropomum (tambaqui)
Lineage: Eukaryota; Metazoa; Chordata; Actinopteri; Characiformes; Serrasalmidae
Exons: 3
Source: RefSeq, a predicted model, not a curated record
UUUAUUUCAUUGGUCGUCCGGCGCCGUCUGGCGGCCAAGGUUGGAACUACAACUGUUUGGGAACAGAAGACGCAGCUACUCGGCCUACAGCAGCUCGGCGUUUAUUCGGGUGGCGGUAGAGUCACUGCAGGAAAAAGAAGACGCAAACAAGCACAGUGAGGCUCCCCAGAAGUUUGAGAAGGUUCUGAAUUACUUCUGUUGUAUUUUGUUUUCUUGAUUCUGAAAUGUUUCUUUUAAAGUUUUACUGUUAAAGCUGCAUCUAAGUCACUGUGUCUGAGUGUCAUUAAACUGCUCCACUCACAGGU